Molecule: long non-coding RNA, 457 nt
Filed under: Homo sapiens (human)
Lineage: Eukaryota; Metazoa; Chordata; Mammalia; Primates; Hominidae
Description: long non-coding RNA NONHSAT238784
Source: RNAcentral
AUUACAAGAAGUGGUUUCGUCAUGCAGGUAAAGACCCCAACUUGACCUUACACUUCCCAUUCCAACUAAUAAUGUCAGGAGUCACUCAGCAUUCUGAGUCAGGGAGGCAGACCUGUCUUAGCAUAUGAGUCAUCUUCUAAGACAGUGACUGUGUUUUUUUUUUAAAUUCCUUCUGUUUUAACUUGGGCCCAGAUGAUUUGAAGGUACCUGUACUGCAAUCUGAAACUGGUUAAGAGAACGAAUGUAUUCCAUCAGCACGGCUAUCACAAAUUUAUGAGGCAUCUCCUAGGGAGAAAAAAAUGUGGUCUUACAAAUACCAACGAGGUGCAAAAGAGGCUGCAUAUAACUCUCUAUCCAACCCCCACCUUGUUUCCAUCUUAAAAUGGCCCAGUGUUCAUCUUUCACUGGUUUUGCACACAUCGCUCCAGAACCACCCGUCAACAAUUAUGCUUUAGGC